GAUGAACGCUGGCGGCGUGCCUAAUACAUGCAAGUCGAGCGAACGGACGAGAAGCUUGCUUCUCUGAUGUUAGCGGCGGACAGGUGAGUAACACGUGGAUAACCUACCUAUAAGACUGGGAUAACUUCGGGAAACCGUAGCUAAUACCGGAUAAUAUUUUGAACCGCAUGGUUCAAAAGUGAAAGACGGUCUUGCUGUCACUUAUAGAUGGAUCCGCGCUGCAUUAGCUAGUUGGUAAGGUAACGGCUUACCAAGGCAACGAUGCAUAGCCGACCUGAGAGGGUGAUCGGCCACACUGGAACUGAGACAAGGUCCAGACUCCUACGGGAGGCAGCAGUAGGGAAUCUUCCGCAAUGGGCGAAAGCCUGACGGAGCAACGCCGCGUGAGUGAUGAAGGUCUUCGGAUCGUAAAACUCUGUUAUUAGGGAAGAACAUAUGUGUAAGUAACUGUGCACAUCUUGACGGUACCUAAUCAGAAAGCCACGGCUAACUACGUG
This 497-nucleotide ribosomal RNA is filed under the name uncultured bacterium. RNAcentral describes it as "partial 16S ribosomal RNA". It matches the Rfam family "Bacterial small subunit ribosomal RNA", at positions 28 to 507 of the family's 1533-position model. The record is from RNAcentral.